Molecule: transfer RNA, 77 nt
Filed under: Loxodonta africana (African savanna elephant)
Lineage: Eukaryota; Metazoa; Chordata; Mammalia; Proboscidea; Elephantidae
Description: tRNA-SeC (TCA) (tRNA-SeC-TCA-11-1)
Source: RNAcentral
GAUGAUCCUCAGUGGUCUGGGGUGCAGGCCUCAAACCUGGAGCUGUCUAGCGACAGAAUGGUUCAUUUCCACCUUUG